CCGAACCAAAUCCGCGUCGAUUCGGCUUGAGUUUUGCUCCUCGCUCACUACCACCCUCAUAUAAAUAUUCCCCAUGCCUGACUCGUCCUAUUUUUGCAAAAAAAUUGAUCUACCGUAACCUAGAGGACUUUGGCCAUCUCGCCGGAGUUUCAGCCAUCCAGGAGCUCUUCGUCGGGCGUUUCCGUCGCCGUCCAACCUUCCCCUACGAACCCUGCAUCCUCCCGUCACCUCGCCUUCGCCGAGGGACCACCUGACGCCGCUGGACCACCGCACCUUCGCCGGCCGCAUAGGAGUCCGCCCGUCAUCACGCCAUCGCCGGAGUCCGCAGCUACGCCGUGGAGCCCCGCCGCUCAUAGAACCCCGUCGCCACCCCCUGCGUCCGACCGCCACCAGAGCACCGCCGCCCACGCCUGAGACCAUCGCCGUUUCACCUGCUCACGGUGAGCACGCAUGCAC
Molecule: long non-coding RNA, 456 nt
Filed under: Hordeum vulgare
Lineage: Eukaryota; Viridiplantae; Streptophyta; Magnoliopsida; Poales; Poaceae
Description: long non-coding RNA (HVUL_LNC018618)
Source: RNAcentral